RNAcentral lists this unclassified non-coding RNA (483 nucleotides) under Hevea brasiliensis (rubber tree). The record is from RNAcentral. Lineage: Eukaryota; Viridiplantae; Streptophyta; Magnoliopsida; Malpighiales; Euphorbiaceae.
GCAUAAGGUCCCAUACGACAGAUCCAACUCACAAAGGGCUGGAAGAGCAUUUUCUUUAUAGAGGGGUUCCAAAGAUGUAUCAGUGAGAUACUUGCAUGCUUGCAACUUUAGGACCUUUAACUGCAAGCAUGAUUCAUAAACAGGUUGCAAGGUAACCAAAAACGUAUAGGAUAGAUCAAGGUAGGUCAAGUUUGGGAGGGACUGCAAAGAGAGGAGUCCAUCACAGCCAACAGAUGGACAUGACAUUAAUACUAAUGACUCGAUGAGGGGGCACGACGAAGUCGUGGCAGAUAAACAAUCAUCCUUGAGUUGGCUGCAGAAUGAAGCAUCAAAAGAGGUUAACAGGGGGCAAUUAAUAGAUGCUUCAGAGAGCACACCACAGCCCUUCAGCUCAAGUGAAGCCAUUUGUGGAGCUUCAAUAUGAAGCAUAUUCAUUUUGGGGCAUAUACCAAGAUUAAGUGACCUAAGACCAACGGGGCAAAA